GGUUUUUCAUCCUUUGCCUCGAUUUCCCAUCCCUCUUUUUUUACCACUUUGUGUCUUCGUCCUGAAAAAGAAAUAAACUUGUGUAAACUGAAGUGAUCCGUCUCGACUUUGCAUUCAUAAUAUGGUAGAGGGUGGAGGAUUACGGUAUACAGACAGGGAAACAAAGUUGGACCAGAAAACAACAUGACGACAUAAGGAAAUAUGGAUUGGAAGUAGUUU
This is a non-coding RNA of Caenorhabditis elegans, 219 nucleotides long. The record is from Ensembl. Lineage: Eukaryota; Metazoa; Nematoda; Chromadorea; Rhabditida; Rhabditidae.